Molecule: ribosomal RNA, 467 nt
Filed under: uncultured bacterium
Lineage: Bacteria
Description: partial 16S ribosomal RNA
Rfam family: Bacterial small subunit ribosomal RNA
Source: RNAcentral
GAUGAACGCUGGCGGCGCGCCUAACACAUGCAAGUCGAACGAUUAAAGCACCUUCGGGUGUGUAUAAAGUGGCGAACGGCUGAGUAACACGUGGGCAACCUGCCCCUUUCAUUGGGAUAGCAACGGGAAACCGUGGAUAAUACCGAAUACUUCGAGACUUCCGCAUGGAAGACUCGAGAAAGCUCCGGCGGAGAGGGAUGGGCCCGCGGCCUGUUAGCUUGUUGGUGGGGUAACGGCCUACCAAGGCAAUGAUGGGUAGCUGGGUUGAGAGACCGACCAGCCAGAUUGGGACUGAGACACGGCCCAGACUCCUACGGGAGGCAUCAGUGGGGAAUCUUGCACAAUGGGCGAAAGCCUGAUGCAGCGACGCCGCGUGCGGGAUGAAGGCCUUCGGGUUGUAAACCGCUUUCAGCAGGGACGAGGCGAAAGUGACGGUACCUGCAGAAGAAGCCCCGGCUAACUACGUG